UACGGAGGAUGCAAGCGUUAUCCGGAAUGAUUGGGCGUAAAGCGUCCGCAGGUGGCAAUGUAAGUCUGCUGUUAAAGAGUCUAGCUCAACUAGAUAAAAGCAGUGGAAACUACAUAGCUAGAGUACGUUCGGGGCAGAGGGAAUUCCUGGUGUAGCGGUGAAAUGCGUAGAGAUUGGAAAGAACACCGAUGGCGAAGGCACUUUACUGGGCUAUUACUAACACUCAGAGACGAAAGCUAGGGUAGCAAAUGGG
RNAcentral lists this ribosomal RNA (253 nucleotides) under uncultured bacterium. RNAcentral describes it as "partial 16S ribosomal RNA". It matches the Rfam family "Bacterial small subunit ribosomal RNA", at positions 524 to 776 of the family's 1533-position model. The record is from RNAcentral.